UACGUAGGGUGCAAGCGUUGUCCGGAAUUAUUGGGCGUAAAGAGCUCGUAGGCGGUUUGUCGCGUCUGCCGUGAAAGUCCGGGGCUCAACUCCGGAUCUGCGGUGGGUACGGGCAGACUAGAGUGAUGUAGGGGAGACUGGAAUUCCUGGUGUAGCGGUGAAAUGCGCAGAUAUCAGGAGGAACAUCGAUGGCGAAGGCAGGUCUCUGGGCAUUAACUGACGCUGAGGAGCGAAAGCAUGGGGAGCGAACAGG
Molecule: ribosomal RNA, 253 nt
Filed under: uncultured bacterium
Lineage: Bacteria
Description: partial 16S ribosomal RNA
Rfam family: Bacterial small subunit ribosomal RNA
Source: RNAcentral